AGUCAAAUCCAACAACUUCAAGGCAUUCCACUCACUCAAUCAGUCAGUCAGUCGAGAGAGUAACCGAUUGUGAUGAGUAUUGAGAGUGGUCUUGGAACGGGAAAUGUAGAGAGAGAGAGAGAGAGAAAAGAACAAGAGUGAAGACAAUGAAGGAAGGGAAUUAAAAAGGGGGUCGUGGCUGAUGGAGCGGCUUGGAAGAUGGACGCCUGGCACGCUCAUCAAGAAACGUGUUUUGGGGAUUCGGUGCCUCUCUUGCCGCAAGCUCGCUCAUCACCUCUCUCUCCAAAUCCAAAUUCAAAUCCAUUUCUUCUUCUUCUUCUUCAUAGUUUGUGUAUAAAUUCAGAAAUCCACUUGGCAAUUACCCACUUAUCUGCUCUCUCUCUCUCUCUCUCUCUCUCUCUCUCUAGGAUAGGAUAGGAUAGGAUAGGAUAGGAUGAUCUGUUGUUGUUGAGAGUUGAGACUGAGUGAGUGUGGAGUCUGGUGGAAGGGCAGGGCUGACCUGCGCUGGGACCUUGAAGAUGGAUUGGCUGCACAAGUUAAGGAAGGCAUUGAUUGCUCUCUCUGCCACCCUCAAACUUCGUAGAUCUCUGGGGGGUGUUGGUGGCGAGCGUGGUGGUGGAAUAGGUGGUCUGCUAAAGCUUCAGGAUGAUGUACAAAUGUGUGGAUAUGAAGAUGUACAGAUUAUGUGGAACAUGCUCAGCAAAGCGCAACACGAAGAGGUUGUCGUGUCAUCACCCACGACAACAACAAAGCCAAAUAAGAAGCGAAGACAUGCAAAGUCCCCAGUUUUGGUCAGAUUGGAAACUUGCUCAGUAGAGAAAGCCAAACAUUAGUGUUUAUAUAUGUGUGUGUAAGUAUAUGUGUGGUGUAUAUGUAAUGGUGGUGUAUAUAUGGUGAUGCGGGAGUAGAGAAAGAAAUGUGAGUUGGAAUACAAAUUCUGUAAAUAUAGUUCUUAGGCCCCUCUCAAAUGUAUAUGAAUCACUGUAACCAAUACAAAUAUCAGAGUAGUUACUAGCAAAAGUUUCUUCUUUUCCAGAAGGCAUCAUCAAGCAAAUGCUAAGCAAAUAUUGUGCACACAACAAUAUAAAUUCCCAAAUCAAUCUAGAGAGAGAGAGAGAGAGAGAGAGAGAGAGAGAGAGAGAGAGAGAGAGA
Long non-coding RNA from Malus domestica (apple), 1152 nucleotides. RefSeq lists it as uncharacterized. The record is from RefSeq and is a predicted model, not a curated record. NCBI's taxonomy places the organism in Eukaryota, Viridiplantae, Streptophyta, Magnoliopsida, Rosales, Rosaceae.